RNAcentral lists this ribosomal RNA (200 nucleotides) under uncultured bacterium. RNAcentral's name for it is "partial 16S ribosomal RNA". It matches the Rfam family "Bacterial small subunit ribosomal RNA", at positions 8 to 199 of the family's 1533-position model. The record is from RNAcentral.
AGAGUUUGAUCCUGGCUCAGAGCGAACGCUGGCGGCGUGCCUAACACAUGCAAGUCGAACGCGCAGUAUGCCGUAGCAAUACGGCAGCCUGUGCGUGGCGAACGGGUGCGUAACACGUGGGUAACCUACCCUCCUGUGGGGAAUAACCCGCCGAAAGGCGGGCUAAUACCGCAUGACAUUCCUGCUGCUGCGGCAGCGGG